RNAcentral lists this ribosomal RNA (584 nucleotides) under [Candida] sp. BG02-7-17-007A-1-1. Its description in RNAcentral is "eukaryotic LSU rRNA". It matches the Rfam family "Eukaryotic large subunit ribosomal RNA", at positions 40 to 648 of the family's 3401-position model. Lineage: Eukaryota; Fungi; Ascomycota; Saccharomycetes; Saccharomycetales. The record is from RNAcentral.
AUAUCAAUAAGCGGAGGAAAAGAAACCAACAGGGAUUGCCUUAGUAGCGGCGAGUGAAGCGGCAAAAGCUCAAAUUUGAAAGCUGGUCCUUUUAUUGGGGCCCGCAUUGUAAUUUGUAGGUUUGAAUCUUGAGGGCCGAAUGUGAUUAAGUUUCUUGGAACAGAACGCCAUAGAGGGUGAGAGCCCCGUGAAUUGCAUUGCAGGUUUUCGUUUAAGAUCAUUCCGAAGAGUCGAGUUGUUUGGGAAUGCAGCUCUAAGUGGGUGGUAAAUUCCAUCUAAAGCUAAAUAUUGGCGAGAGACCGAUAGCGAACAAGUACAGUGAUGGAAAGAUGAAAAGCACUUUGAAAAGAGAGUGAAACAGUACGUGAAAUUGUUGAAAGGGAAGGGUAUUUGACUCGACAUGGGAUUUAUUCAUCAUUGCUCCUUGUGGGCGGUGCUCUGGAUUUUUUCUGGGCCAACAUCAGUUUUUACUGGGAGGAUAAUGACAUUGUGAUAACUUCGGUAGGAUCAUGUUGAUGCUCCCUGGGGAGACUGAGGACUGCCAUUCUUUUAUGUAGGAUGUUGGCAUAACGGUCAAAUAUCGC